CCCCUUAUGUAGCUCUGCACAAAAUAUUCCUCUUUCAAACUCCUAUCUUCUCCAGCCAUAAAAGCCUUUAACAGCUUUAACUCCUCAAAUUUCAAUGUAUAUGAUCCACCACCAAUCUUCUAAAUUGUUCCCAAGAAAUUUCGCCCAUUCUUUCUACAUACUCCAAAUACGACAAAUCGGCUCCAUCCAUAUACAUCGCCGCUGUGAAUAUCUUUUUCGAGUCACUCAUUGGAUUAACAACAAAAUACUUAUUACACUUCCUAAUCCAUUGCAAUGGUGAUCUUCCGAAAAUUUAGGAAAUUCUAAUCUAGGCAUAUGAGAUUGAAAAUUUCCAGAAUUUUGAGAGUUACCUCGAUCGCAUUUUGCCUGCUCUGGAAUUGAAUUGACAGCACUCUCAUGGUGUUCCUCAUCUGUUUCUUUCCCUUGGAAUUCCUUGCGUAGCAGCUCGAAUUGGCUCGCCAUCAACGCCAUCAUCGAUGCUAGAUCGCUCUUCAUCGAUGUAAUGUCUACCUUCACAGCCCCGAUCUGACCUUCUAGGCUAUCAAUACGGCUGUCCAUUCUUGAACCGUUGCGCGGCAUACGUGGAUGAAUCAAUGGCUCUUAAUACCAAAUGUAAUACUAGAACACUCAUACUUUCCCAUCAAUCGUAGAUCCGAACUCAAGCUUGACGUAAUCACGAAGAAUUCAGUGAAGAACUUUACUAAACGCCUCACAAUUGGGUGCUCGUGUGCAGAUGAAACGAGACGACUGAAAGAAAGGAAUAGAA
RNAcentral lists this long non-coding RNA (766 nucleotides) under Salvia miltiorrhiza (redroot sage). Its description in RNAcentral is "long non-coding RNA (SMIL_LNC007265)". The record is from RNAcentral. Lineage: Eukaryota; Viridiplantae; Streptophyta; Magnoliopsida; Lamiales; Lamiaceae.